UGGCCUAUGGUGUAAUUGGCAGCACGAAGGUUUCUGGUUCCUUUAGUCUUGGUUCGAGUCCAGGUAGGCCAGCCA
Molecule: transfer RNA, 75 nt
Filed under: Demequina litorisediminis
Lineage: Bacteria; Bacillati; Actinomycetota; Actinomycetes; Micrococcales; Demequinaceae
Also listed under: 2 other names
Description: tRNA-Gln
Rfam family: tRNA
About the family: Transfer RNA (tRNA) molecules are approximately 80 nucleotides in length. Their secondary structure includes four short double-helical elements and three loops (D, anti-codon, and T loops).
Source: RNAcentral